RNAcentral lists this ribosomal RNA (468 nucleotides) under uncultured bacterium. RNAcentral describes it as "partial 16S ribosomal RNA". It matches the Rfam family "Bacterial small subunit ribosomal RNA", at positions 28 to 507 of the family's 1533-position model. The record is from RNAcentral.
GACGAACGCUGGCGGCGUGCUUAACACAUGCAAGUCGAACGGAAAGGCCCUGCUUUUGUGGGGUGCUCGAGUGGCGAACGGGUGAGUAACACGUGAGUAACCUGCCCUUGACUUUGGGAUAACUUCAGGAAACUGGGGCUAAUACCGGAUAGCAGCUCCUGCUGCAUUGUGGGGGUUGGAAAGUUUCGGCGGUUGGGGAUGGACUCGCGGCUUAUCAGCUUGUUGGUUGGGUAGUGGCUUACCAAGGCUUUGACGGGUAGCCGGCCUGAGAGGGUGACCGGCCACAUUGGGACUGAGAUACGGACCAGACUCCUACGGGAGGCAGCAGUGGGGAAUAUUGCACAAUGGGCGGAAGCCUGAUGCAGAAACGCCGCGUGCGGGAUGACGGCCUGCGGGUUGUAAACCGCUGUAGCCUGUGACGAAGCGUGAGUGACGGUAAUGGGUAAAGAAGCACCGGCUAACUACGUG